AGUGCCGCGGGCGUUCCGCGGCCGUGCCUGAGGCUGGCUGUUCGGGCGCAGCUUGGCGGAGGGCCCGGGGCGAGACAGGGGGCUGAGCGGUCCCCGCUGCUAUCAGACAGGUUCAGCUGUCCCAGCUUAAGCACCAAGUAGCCAAUCCAGACAACACACUUGCCAAGACUCCUCAGAGUGUCUCAGCAACCAACCUACACAGUCCCAUACCAGGUGUGUGCGACAUGUAACGAUGUGCUUCUGCAUUGUGAGGUUUGCCCACUGACAACUGGCUCUGUCCAAGAGUACCAGCUCUUCAAGACAGGAAACACACCUUACUGAGCAUGGCAGGAAUGAUUUCCACUGGACUUUGGAGGCAGGUGUGAUUGUCCUCACUGCUACUCAUAUGAACACAGCUCUGAAACUCCCUCGUCUUUCUUCCUUGUCUUCC
Long non-coding RNA from Colius striatus (speckled mousebird), 430 nucleotides. RefSeq lists it as uncharacterized. The record is from RefSeq and is a predicted model, not a curated record. The transcript has 3 exons. NCBI's taxonomy places the organism in Eukaryota, Metazoa, Chordata, Aves, Coliiformes, Coliidae.